GAUGAACGCUGGCGGCGUGCCUAAUACAUGCAAGUCGAGCGAAUGGAAUAAGAGCUUGCUCUUAUGAAGUUAGCGGCGGACGGGUGAGUAACACGUGGGUAACCUGCCCAUAAGACUGGGAUAACUCCGGGAAACCGGGGCUAAUACCGGAUAACAUUUUGAACCGCAUGGUUCGAAAUUGAAAGGCGGCUUCGGCUGUCACUUAUGGAUGGACCCGCGUCGCAUUAGCUAGUUGGUGAGGUAACGGCUCACCAAGGCAACGAUGCGUAGCCCACCUGAGAGGGUGAUCGGCCACACUGGGAGUGGGACACGGCCCAGACUCCUACGGGAGGCAGCAGUAGGGAAUCUUCCGCAAUGGACGAAAGUCUGACGGAGCAACGCCGCGUGAGUGAUGAAGGCUUUCGGGUCGUAAAACUCUGUUGUUAGGGAAGAACAAGUGCUAGUUGAAUAAGCUGGCACCUUGACGGUACCUAACCAGAAAGCCACGGCUAACUACGUGCCAGCAGCCGCUGUAA
This 515-nucleotide ribosomal RNA is filed under the name uncultured bacterium. RNAcentral's name for it is "partial 16S ribosomal RNA". It matches the Rfam family "Bacterial small subunit ribosomal RNA", at positions 28 to 523 of the family's 1533-position model. The record is from RNAcentral.